CAAAAAGACUGUAAAAUAAGGAUGAAGCACUCGACGUUCAAGCGGAUGAAAAUAUUAUCUCUGUUGGACGUACCGUAAAGAGCCCAAUCUGUUACAGGUGCCACGGACAUGCCGCACUUGAAGACACCAUGAUAAUCCAUGGCGAGCGUCAUGCCCGUCGCGUAUCCACCAUAACUCCAGCCCCAUAUCGCCGUCCUGGUACGGUCGAUGAACGGUAACGUGUCUUGCAAGUACCUGCAAUCGACGGGAAAAUCGUCUACGUGUUAGAUCGCUCGUUAAUGAAACCGGCCAAUUCGAAACAGAGGACGACGCAACGUCACGCUGGUUAUUCGCCGGAGAAUCCAAUUGUCGCGCGUCCAAAGCGACACGGGUGUCCGCGAAGACUCGCGGAAACGACGCGUUCAAGAAUGUGUCAGGGUCGUCGGCGGAUAUCCGCGUCACGCGCCACCGAGGUCUCUGGUCGCGUGUGUAUCCAUCCCUG
Molecule: unclassified non-coding RNA, 481 nt
Filed under: Bombus terrestris (buff-tailed bumblebee)
Lineage: Eukaryota; Metazoa; Arthropoda; Insecta; Hymenoptera; Apidae
Description: misc RNA ENSBTSG00005032166.1
Source: RNAcentral